This 820-nucleotide unclassified non-coding RNA is filed under the name Pyricularia oryzae. RNAcentral describes it as "sequence contains ITS1, 5.8S rRNA gene, ITS2". The stretch from base 629 to 776 matches the Rfam family "5.8S ribosomal RNA". The record is from RNAcentral. Lineage: Eukaryota; Fungi; Ascomycota; Sordariomycetes; Magnaporthales; Pyriculariaceae.
GGACUGGGGGUUUCUACCUGAUCCGAGGUCACCUUUAAAAAUUGGGGGUUUAGCGGCUGGAGCACGCCGGGACGAUCCGAACGAGGUUCGCGUUUUACCGCGUUUUACUGCGCUCAGUGUACCGACGAGCCCGCCGAUGAACUUGGGGGCCCCGGGCCGCCCCUUCGCCGCCCCCCCCCCCCCCGCGCCGACCCCCCCCCCCCCCACCCCCCCCCCCCACCCCCCCCCCCCCCGCCCCACCCCCCGCACCCCCCCCCCCCCACCCCCCACCCCCCCCCCCCACCCCCCCCCCCCCCCGCCCCGGCCGGCCCCCCCCCCCCCCCCCCCCCCCCCCUCCCCCCGCCCCCCCCCCACACCCCCCCCCCCCCCCCCCGACCCCCCCCCCCCCCCGCCUCCCCCCCCCCCCCACCGGCACCUGCCCCCCCCCCCCCCCCGCAAGAAAGCCCCCCCCCCGCCCCGGCACCCCCCCCCCCCCCCCGCCACCUCCCCGUCCCCCGCCGAAAGGAUCAUUACUGAGUUGAAAAACUCCACCCUGUGAACAUAACCUCUGUCGUUGCUUCGGCGGGCACCCCCCCGAGGUUCAAACUCUUAUUUUUUCAGUAUCUCUGAGCCUGAAAGACAAAUAAUCAAACUUUCACAACGGAUCUCUUGGUUCUGGCAUCCAUGAAGAACGCGCGAAAUGCGAUAAGUAAUGGUGAAUUGCAGAAUUCGUGGAAUCUCCAAUCUUUGAAGCCAUUGCGCCCCCGCUAUUCGGCGGGCAUGCCGGUUCAGCGUCUUUCCCCCGCCUCGCUUGGUGGUUGGGGGGGCCCCCCGCCCCCCC